UGGGGAAUUUUGCGCAAUGGGGGAAACCCUGACGCAGCAACGCCGCGUGAGUGAUGAAGGCCUUCGGGUUGUAAAGCUCUUUUAGUGGGGAAGAAGCCCUCCAGGGCUAAUAUCCCUGGGGUCUGACGGUACCCACAGAAAAAGUUCCGGCUAACUACGUGCCAGCAGCCGCGGUAAUACGUAGGGAGCAAGCGUUGUUCGGAAUUAUUGGGCGUAAAGAGCGCGUAGGCGGUCUAGUAAGUCCGAUGUGAAAUCCCAGAGCUUAACUCUGGAACUGCAUUGGAAACUGCUAGGCUUGAGUGCGGGAGAGGUGAGUGGAAUUCCCAGUGUAGAGGUGAAAUUCGUAGAUAUUGGGAGGAACACCGGUGGCGAAGGCGGCUCACUGGACCGCAACUGACGCUGAGGCGCGAAAGCUCGGGGAGCAAACGGG
Molecule: ribosomal RNA, 430 nt
Filed under: uncultured Nitrospinaceae bacterium
Lineage: Bacteria; Pseudomonadati; Nitrospinota; Nitrospinia; Nitrospinales; Nitrospinaceae
Description: bacterial SSU rRNA
Rfam family: Bacterial small subunit ribosomal RNA
Source: RNAcentral